RNAcentral lists this long non-coding RNA (715 nucleotides) under Olea europaea (common olive). Its description in RNAcentral is "long non-coding RNA (OEUR_LNC011109)". The record is from RNAcentral. Lineage: Eukaryota; Viridiplantae; Streptophyta; Magnoliopsida; Lamiales; Oleaceae.
GUUAGCAACAUCGUGAUCGUAGUCCUGUUCGUUAACACCAACAACAUAAGUUGGGAUAUCAGCUCCUUUUGCCGGUGCAGUGAUAACAACCUUCUUGGCUCCUGCUUGGAUGUGCUUCCCAGCACCCGGACCAUCCACGAAAACACCCGUUCCCUGCAUCCACAUGAUUUAAUCAGUGUAGAUUGCUAAAUGUCAAUGACAUGUUUGGUAAGUCAAAUCAGCGAAUUCAGAAUACUGGACAGUACUUAAUUAGGGGAAAAAAAUCUAAUAGAUUCUGAGCAUCAAUCAAGUGAACUGUAAGUAGUUGUCCAAGAAUGGGAUCAAAUUUAAGGUCGUUCUGACUCGUGGCGUUGUUUUCCUUUCAUCAUCAAACAUCUGUCUGUUCCUAAUUAGUCACUGAAAUUUCAUUUUUGUUUCAAUUUAAGCACCAUGUCUGCCUAAUUAACGAAAAUGCUAACAUAGGAUUAUUAGACCAACACGCACGCAGUUGGCCCUAUUGGGAAGGUUGAUCUGUGGACGAGGGAAUAAGUUUAGAAAACGAUUAGACUCCAUAUAGUCUAAUAGAGGAUUGGAUGAGAAAUCUACCUCAAUUACAAUGUCAAUGCCGAGCUCAGCCCAAGGAAGUUUAAGAGGAUCCCUGUUAGACACAACCUUUAUGGGCUUCCCGUCAACGCUGAUGGUUUCAUUGUCAACUAUUUUAACAACUGCCUUGAAU